GACGAACGCUGGCGGCGUGCUUAACACAUGCAAGUCGAACGGAAAGGCCCAGCUUGCUGGGUACUCGAGUGGCGAACGGGUGAGUAACACGUGGGUGAUCUGCCCUGGACUCUGGGAUAAGCCUGGGAAACUGGGUCUAAUACCGGAUAUGACCUUACAUCGCAUGGUGUUUGGUGGAAAGCUUUUGCGGUUCAGGAUGGGCCCGCGGCCUAUCAGCUUGUUGGUGGGGUAAUGGCCUACCAAGGCGACGACGGGUAGCCGACCUGAGAGGGUGAUCGGCCACACUGGGACUGAGACACGGCCCAGACUGCUACGGGAGGCAGCGGUGGGGAAUAUUGCGAAAUGGGCGCAAGCCUGAUGCAGCGACGCCGGGUGGGGGAUGACGGCCUUCGGGUUGUAAACAUCUUUCACGAAGGACGAAGCGUGAGGGACGGUACCUGGAGAAGAAGCACCGCCAAACUACGU
This 465-nucleotide ribosomal RNA is filed under the name uncultured bacterium. Its description in RNAcentral is "partial 16S ribosomal RNA". It matches the Rfam family "Bacterial small subunit ribosomal RNA", at positions 28 to 506 of the family's 1533-position model. The record is from RNAcentral.